UACGAAGGGGCUAGCGUUGCUCGGAAUUACUGGGCGUAAAGCGCACGUAGGCGGCUCUUUAAGUCGGGGGUGAAAUCCUGGAGCUCAACUCCAGAACUGCCUUCGAUACUGAAGAGCUCGAGUCCGGGAGAGGUGAGUGGAACUGCGAGUGUAGAGGUGAAAUUCGUAGAUAUUCGCAAGAACACCAGUGGCGAAGGCGGCUCACUGGCCCGGUACUGACGCUGAGGUGCGAAAGCGUGGGGAGCAACAGG
This 251-nucleotide ribosomal RNA is filed under the name uncultured bacterium. Its description in RNAcentral is "partial 16S ribosomal RNA". It matches the Rfam family "Bacterial small subunit ribosomal RNA", at positions 524 to 775 of the family's 1533-position model. The record is from RNAcentral.